CCGGCCUUGGGGCGCUGUCCCGGGCGUUCGCUCUCUCGCCCCGCCACCCUGGCUGCUUGGCGCCGGCAGCGAGUUAGGAGGCUUCGGGGGCAGGUGGCGGACCGGCGGCCUGGGAAGAGGCGAGAGGGCGGGAAGAGCCGCGGGCGCCUCGGCCGCCUCAGGCGCGCACGCCCGCAGCUAUCGCUCGCUCGUCGCGGAGCUUGAAGCCGUGCGCGAGGCGCGGUGAGGUGACGACCUGACCCCGACCAGCAGAGACGGCUCUGGGGCCGACGGCUGGGAGCGCACGGUGCGAGAGCAGAGGGCCGAGCUCAGCACCCGGAAGUAGCCGCGGCGGGCGAGUGCCGCAGGUUGCCUGCGGGCAGUGCGCACUGGCGACCUCCUGAGCGUAAAGGUGGGCCCCGGGCGAACGCGUCCAGGGACGUGCAAAGGAAAGCGAAAGCCUUCGCAGCCACCAGAAGGCCCAGCGUGCGGCAAUUCGUUCUGGUGGAACCCAACGUUGUCUUCAGCCGGCAAUCUUACACUCGUGUCAGUCUCCAUUACAAGUCACUACACAAAGGACCCCCCUCCAAGAAUUCGGGCCAGUACCUAUGACCGGGACAUUUUUUGUUAAUAGGUAACAGCAGGAAAGAGCAGCACGCUGUGUCUCACUUGGGCUCUGUCCUCUAAGCAUAAACCUGGGGUGCCCCAAAAUAGAGCCCAGAUUUCCAGAAGGAUAGUGGCUGUGGAAACAUCUGAUUUUCUGAAAAGCACAAAUCUAUGGAAAGACAAGCGGAACAGCAUGCCUUAACCUUCUCGCUUAGAAAAGGGCUGCAGGUUGAAAUGUCGAUAGUAGCAGAGUCGAAAACAGUGCGGAGCAUGUAGAAGGGACCUUGGAUUCGGAAGACAGUGAACCAGGCCAGUGUGGAAGCGGGUUUGUGUCCCCAAAGGCUGCGGCGGCCACUGGAAUCCAUCUGCCCGUGGGUCAGUGGCCGCCCGCAGCUCUGAGAGGACCUCUGGGAACACUCCUGAAAGGCUGCGGGCGGGGAGGCGCACAGGGCGUCAUUGCAAAUGUCCAGCAGAACCUCAGUGUUUGCUGUUUCAAGUAGUUUUAAUAAAUCUGUUUCACUCACAUCAACACCCUUCCUUCGCAAUGAGUUCUAAAGUUUGUGUUCUGAACUUUGCGUUCCCAUGGCCACAUGCUCCUGAGCGAGUCUGCGGGCAUCAGGUACGUUCUCAGGUACGUCUGUGACCAAGAGCACUCGGGCCAGAGCUCUGGGCUGCUGAGCCCAGGGCCUGGUGGCAGAGGUGUUUGGGUGGAAGUCGGCUGGUGCCCUCGGGUGACCACACUUUUCAGAUGGGCCGAGGGGUCCUGCCGGGAGCAGGUGCCGAGGUCGCCUUGAAGGGUGUGCUUGGGACCAGAGUUGUGUGUGGGAAGGCAAGGGCAGCCAUGAGAACCCCACGAAACAGGCCAGGGGAGAAGGGGGUGGGCCAGCUGGCAGUGGGAGGACACCUGAGUUUUGAUUUCUGCUGAAUGGACUGGGUGCCAGGGGCUGAGGAGGGGGGUGUGGUCAGAAGAGCCCGUCACGGGUCGUCACUCCAGCUUUUCCUGAGAAGUCAGAGGGAGCUGGUGGGGUGUCAUGAGGGAGUCUGGUGCCUUUUGCUGCAGGAAAAAGGGGCAGCUAACAUCAACGCAAGAGAAUGUCCAUGGUUGGUUUGGGGCAGAAAAAUUUGCCUCAGGAGUAGGGACGGGCUCAAAUUUGUCAAGAUCCAGUUCCAAGAAGAACAUUCUCGGGACUGAGAGCAGAUGCAACACAGGAGAGAGGUGGCCAAACUGAAGGACCUGCGUGACCCGAGGCGCCUGCUUGGCUGGGCUCUGGGGUGUGAUGCUCGGCCGAGCACACAGCACGGAACGUCUUCGGGAUUUACGGGGUCACAGCGGUCACGGUUACCUGCCCAGCGUCAGGCACACCCUUGUAUCCUCGGGGGACUAUCCCUCCUGUCCUCGGUGCCCAAGGCUGGGUAGAGCCAGCCAGAGCCAGUGCAGACCGCUGCAAGAGGAGGCCACCAGUGGGGACCUAGGCGGAGCCGGGGCACUUGACGGAACUGUGGGGAAGGUGGGAGGCCGCUUGCUGGGGCUGCUGAACCGAGACUGAGGGACACUGCGUGUCUGUCCAGAAGCCAGCAGACGGCCAGGCCGGAGGUGCAGGUCCUGUGCCGUCGGAGUGAGAGCCCCAGUGUGGGGCGUAACGGUUGACGCCUCCUUCCCAGGUCAUUUCUGCUUUGGCUUGCGCCAUGCUGGGUUGGGAGUCUGGAACUCGUGAUGUCCUAACCCAAGGGUAGACAUGGGGUAACAUCCCCUCGGGCUGCAGGAGGCACAACGCCUCGCAUCCCUGCAGGCCAAGCCCCCCCCACCAUUGGCUUCCUAGCCAGCGCCGGGCCGAGUGGACUUGGCUGGGGGGACCCUGGCGGGGCACAGGUGGCUGGGUGUUGUCACUGGGGCUCACUCCCCUGCUCCCACUGAACCCUCCCAGGCUUACAGUGCGGGCACCCGGCUGCUGCGUGGGACAAAGUGUGGCCUGGAGGCGUGGGCCACAUGCUGUCCCUACAGGCCUGUGCCCUUGGCAGGAGUCUGAGCUGCUUGUGGCCCCGAAGGCAGAAUGGUCUCUUGGCAAGGCCAAGGCUCGAAUGGCCAGCCUGUUGGUGGCGUGAGCCAUGGAGCCUGAGGUGCUCUGCGCAGGCCUGGGGCAGUGGUUUUGAGCGGUUCUCCAGGAGGGAGGACUGUGGCCCCAGGCAGGUACCCCGCCUCUGGGCUGGCCUGGUCCCCAGGUGGCCCCUUCCUGCCCAGUGAGGCAGGAGGCAGCUGGGGAACUUCCAGAGUCGCCAGGUGGGGGUCACUGAAGGAAAUUCAGUAGAAACAAGGUGAGCCGGAAGCAGUGAGUGCCUCUGGGAGAGAGCAUCCGGAAGUUUUUGCUGCUUGCCUCGCAGAGAGGUACCAGCAUCUCACCUGGUGGCUUGGGAUGAGGGGGGCUGACCAGGGGGAGCAGUUUUUGGAAACGGAGACAGGCGUCUGGGCUGUCGCACCUGGCCAGCUGCACCGCCCCCGCCACCUCCGGGCCAUACUGCAGUCACUGGUCUGGCGCGGGAUG
Long non-coding RNA from Condylura cristata (star-nosed mole), 3125 nucleotides. RefSeq lists it as uncharacterized. Lineage: Eukaryota; Metazoa; Chordata; Mammalia; Eulipotyphla; Talpidae. The transcript has 3 exons. The record is from RefSeq and is a predicted model, not a curated record.